GAACGCUGGCGGCGUGCCUAAUACAUGCAAGUCGAGCGGAAUGAUGAAGAAGCUUGCUUCUUCUGAUUUUAGCGGCGGACGGGUGAGUAACACGUGGGCAACCUACCUUGUAGAUUGGGAUAACUCCGGGAAACCGGGGCUAAUACCGAAUAAUCCAUUUUGCUUCAUGGCGAGAUGUUGAAAGACGGUUUCGGCUGUCACUACAAGAUGGGCCCGCGGCGCAUUAGCUAGUUGGUAGGGUAAUGGCCUACCAAGGCGACGAUGCGUAGCCGACCUGAGAGGGUGAUCGGCCACACUGGGACUGAGACACGGCCCAGACUCCUACGGGAGGCAGCAGUAGGGAAUCUUCCACAAUGGACGAAAGUCUGAUGGAGCAACGCCGCGUGAGUGAAGAAGGUUUUCGGAUCGUAAAACUCUGUUGUAAGGGAAGAACACGUACGAGAGUAACUGCUCGUACCUUGACGGUACCUUAUUAGAAAGCCACGGCUAACUACGUG
Molecule: ribosomal RNA, 497 nt
Filed under: uncultured bacterium
Lineage: Bacteria
Description: bacterial SSU rRNA
Rfam family: Bacterial small subunit ribosomal RNA
Source: RNAcentral